RNAcentral lists this ribosomal RNA (1432 nucleotides) under uncultured Bordetella sp. RNAcentral's name for it is "partial 16S-23S ribosomal RNA intergenic spacer". Lineage: Bacteria; Pseudomonadati; Pseudomonadota; Betaproteobacteria; Burkholderiales; Alcaligenaceae. The record is from RNAcentral.
UACCUUGUUGACUUCACCCCAGUCAUGAAUCCCUGCAAUGAUAUUUUCCAACACGGUUAGGCUACUUCCGCUUCCUGGUAAAACCACUCCAUGGUCGUGACGGGCGGUGUACAAGACCAGAACGCCAUUCACGCGACAUGUAGUCCGCAGGUACUGGCGAUUCCGACUUCACAGUCGAGUUGCGGAGCUGCGAUCCGGACUGAAUCGGGUUUCUGGGAUUGGCUCCCCCUCGCGGGUUUGGCGACCCUACGUCCCAGCCAUUGUAUAGCCCGAUGAAGCCCUACCCAUAGAGGCCAUGAGGACUUGAGCGUCAUCCCCACACUCCCUCCAGUUUGUCACCGGCAGUCUCGAUAGAGUGCCCUUUCGUAGCAAUAACGACAGAGGUUCACUCGUUGCGGGACUUAUUUAACAUCUGACACGGAUGACGACAGCCAUGCAGCACCUGUGUUCCGGUUCUCUUGCGAGCACUCCCAAAUCUCUUCUGGAUUCCAGACAUGUCAGGGUAGAUGGUUUCGCGUUGCACUCGUUAAUCCACAUCAUCCACCGCGUGCGGGUCCCCGUCAAUUCCUUUGCGGAGUUUAAAUAUCUUUUGCGACCGUACUCCCCAGGCGGUCAACUUCACUACAUUCGCUGCUACCAAGGCGAAGGCCCCAACGCAGCUAGUUGACAUCGUUUAGGGCGUGAACUACCAGGGUAUCUAAUCCUGUUUGCUCACUUUCGUGCAUAGGCGUGGUGUUAUCAGGAAGCUGCCUUCGCCAUCAAUUGUUCCUCCGCAUAUCUACAUUCACUGCUACGCGGGAAUUCCUCCCUCCCCAUGUUUGCCUCUAGCUCGGUAGUUAAAAAUGCAGUUCCAAAGUUAAGCUCUGGGAUUUCCCUGCAUCUUUCUUUUGAACCGCCUCACGCACGCUUCCGCCAAUAAUUCCAGUUAACGCUUGCACCUAAUAUUGCGGCUGUACGUGGUUAGCCGGUGCUUAUUCUGCGGUACCGUCAGUUGCACGGAGUAUUAUCCCGUGCAUUUUUCCCUGCCAAAGUGCUUCCCAACCCGAAGGCCUUCAUCGCACGCGGGAUGGCUGGAUCAGGGUUUCCCCAUUGUCCAAAAUUCUCCACUGCUGCCUCCCGGCGAGUCUGGGCCGUGUCAUAGUCCCAGUGGCUGGUCGUCCUCUCAAACAGCCACGGAUCGUCGCCGCUGACGAGCCGUUACCCCACCAACUCGCUAAUCCGAUAUCGGCCGCUCUAUUAGUGCGGGCCGAAGGUCCCCCUUUCCCCCGAAGACGUAUGCGGUAUUAGCAUAACUUUCGCGUAGUUAUCCCCACUAUGAACGUUCCGUCCAUUACUCUGCAAUUCACCACAUCGCCACCAGACCGAAGUCCGUGCUGCCGUUCGACUUUUGCAUGUAAAGCAUCCAUAGCGUUAAUCGAGCCAUAAUCAAACC